This 1259-nucleotide ribosomal RNA is filed under the name uncultured bacterium. RNAcentral describes it as "bacterial SSU rRNA". It matches the Rfam family "Bacterial small subunit ribosomal RNA", at positions 61 to 1333 of the family's 1533-position model. The record is from RNAcentral.
GUCGAACGGUGAAGCCCAGCUUGCUGGGUGGAUCAGUGGCGAACGGGUGAGUAACACGUGAGCAACCUGCCCUCCACUUCGGGAUAAGCCUUGGAAACGGGGUCUAAUACCGGAUAUGAGCUCGCAUCGCAUGGUGUGGGCUGGAAAGUUUUUCGGUGGGGGAUGGGCUCGCGGCCUAUCAGCUUGUUGGUGGGGUGAUGGCCUACCAAGGCGUCGACGGGUAGCCGGCCUGAGAGGGCGACCGGCCACACUGGGACUGAGACACGGCCCAGACUCCUACGGGAGGCAGCAGUGGGGAAUAUUGCACAAUGGGCGCAAGCCUGAUGCAGCGACGCCGCGUGAGGGAUGACGGCCUUCGGGUUGUAAACCUCUUUCAGCAGGGAAGAAGCGCAAGUGACGGUACCUGCAGAAGAAGCGCCGGCUAACUACGUGCCAGCAGCCGCGGUAAUACGUAGGGCGCAAGCGUUGUCCGGAAUUAUUGGGCGUAAAGAGCUCGUAGGCGGUCUGUCGCGUCUGGUGUGAAAUCCCGAGGCUCAACCUCGGGCUUGCAUCGGGUACGGGCAGACUAGAGUGCGGUAGGGGAGACUGGAAUUCCUGGUGCAGCGGUGGAAUGCGCAGAUAUCAGGAGGAACACCGAUGGCGAAGGCAGGUCUCUGGGCCGCAACUGACGCUGAGGAGCGAAAGCAUGGGGAGCGAACAGGAUUAGAUACCCUGGUAGUCCAUGCCGUAAACGUUGGGCACUAGGUGUGGGGCUCAUUCCACGAGUUCCGUGCCGCAGCUAACGCAUUAAGUGCCCCGCCUGGGGAGUACGGCCGCAAGGCUAAAACUCAAAGGAAUUGACGGGGGCCCGCACAAGCGGCGGAGCAUGCGGAUUAAUUCGAUGCAACGCGAAGAACCUUACCAAGGCCUGACAUGUACGAGAAAGCCCCCGAGACGGGGUUCUCUUUGGACACUCGUACACAGGUGGUGCAUGGUUGUCGUCAGCUCGUGUCGUGAGAUGUUGGGUUAAGUCCCGCAACGAGCGCAACCCUCGUCCUAUGUUGCCAGCGGGUUAUGCCGGGGACUCAUGGGAGACUGCCGGGGUCAACUCGGAGGAAGGUGGGGAUGACGUCAAAUCAUCAUGCCCCUUAUGUCUUGGGCUUCACGCAUGCUACAAUGGCCGGUACAGAGGGCUGCGAUACCGUAAGGUGGAGCGAAUCCCAAAAAGCCGGUCUCAGUUCGGAUUGGGGUCUGCAACUCGACCCCAUGAAGUCGGAGUC